GACGAACGCUGGCGGCGUGCUUAACACAUGCAAGUCGAACGGAAAGGCCUGCUUUCCCUUGUGGAUUGCGGGUACUCGAGUGGCGAACGGGUGAGUAACACGUGAGUGAUCUGCCCCCAACUUGGGUAUAAGCCUGGGAAACUGGGUCUAAUUCCCGAUAGGACUGCAGGGUGGUGCCUGUGGUGGAAAACGAUUUUCUAGUGGUUGGGGAUGAGCUCGCGGCCUAUCAGCUUGUUGGUGGGGUAAUGGCCUACCAAGGCGGCGACGGGUAGCCGGCCUGAGGGGGUGGACGGCCACAUUGGGACUGGGAUACGGCCCAGACGCCUACGGAAGGCAGCAGUGGGGAAUAUUGCACAAUGGGCGGAAGCCUGAUGCAGCGACGCCGCGUGGGGGAUGACGGGCUUCGGGUUGUAAACUCCUUUCGACCGCGAGGAAGCCACCUGGUUGGAAGGGUGGUGACGGUAGUGGUAGAAGAAGCACCGGCUAACUACGUG
RNAcentral lists this ribosomal RNA (494 nucleotides) under uncultured bacterium. RNAcentral's name for it is "partial 16S ribosomal RNA". It matches the Rfam family "Bacterial small subunit ribosomal RNA", at positions 28 to 507 of the family's 1533-position model. The record is from RNAcentral.